AAGAAGAGAGAUUCUCCUGAACUGUUCCAGGAAGGGCAUUUAUUAUUUCGCACUUAAGUUUAGCGGUGCCAUUAAAAGUUAGCCGGCAGUUAAUCAGAUGGACGAAUGCACCAUUAACUUCUGAAUUUAUUUUCCUAAAGCCGCAUUAAAUAUGGUAAACUAUUCCAACGAUGCGGGUGCAUAAAGGAUGGAAUUACCCAGUGGAAAACGAAAACAACAAAAAAAGAAUGUUUAAAAAACAAACAUCUGACCCCCCAGUUAAACGCAUUUCCAUAAAAAACGAUAGAAAUAAAAAUGAAAAUGUGCACUACUUUAUAGACGGGGUGGGAUCAUCAUGUUACUGAACAUGUGCUGUUAUUCCCCUGUCUUCAACUGUCUUCCAUUCUAAAUUAUGACGUUGGCCUAGAUGUUAAAAACCCACCACUUAUUGUUAUAUUAAUUAUACUAUAAUUAUCUUACUGUAGCACAACCUCCGCCGAAAGAAUUAUCUAAUUACCGAUUGAAUAACUCAAGGUAGUUAGUUAUGCGUUAUUUUAAACAGCAGAGGCAUUCACUAUAUAUAUUUUAAAGCUUUUUGGCAGUGAGGGAUAGAGUUCUGAUAUAGCCAGACAGAACUGCAAUGUAUCUUUCCGAGAAGGGAGAAAGAUAUCAGUCACCGAGGCAACAGGGAGUUUGGGGGGAGGAGUUUUGUCAGGUGUACAGAGGUACUUCCAUCACUCAUUAGACACGCCUCCCCCUGCAAAAUUAAUCAGUUGAGAAAACACGGCGGUGCGCCACGUCAUUAGUUUUCCAAUCCAGCGAAUCAGGCGCCAAGCAACCAUUUCACCACAUCCCCCCUCAUCCCAGAACAAUUAUAAAGGUAAUUCUGAGAUAUUAAUAGAAAUUUAGGGAUGAUUAUUUAGCCAGCUGGAAUAAAUCACAUCUGGACGCCAUUCGGUGGCUUUUGCACUGCUUCAAUGACAAAUCAAAGACAGUUUCACUUGUAGUGUUCAAAUAUUAUUAUUUAGUUAUCAAAUUAAUUAAUUGAAGUGAGUCAGGCUUCAAAGAAACUGCAAACUGUAAAUGACUGCUCCAUAGCAGGUAUAUCGCCUCUCUCCAAAUGUAAAUUUGAGCCUAUUGAUUUUUCCAGUUUGAUUAAAAUUUGGGAACUGUCACCUAAUCUGUUUCAGCCCCCUGCAGGACAAAACUGGUACAGAUGCAGAAGUUAUUACCCCUGACAGUACCUCACAUUUAAAUAUCACAAUGGAGAACCGUCCAGGAUCUUUCGAAAGCAUCGGCUGGGGAAUCGAUUUCAGAGUUCAAAGCAGCACAGAGCCCUCCUGAAAUACCCACUGCAUACAGGAUGUGGAGGGAGGGAGCUUCCAGUGGGCCCAACGCUGAACUUUCAGAGAAAUACCCGUCUACAGAAAUCCAAAGACAAAGACAAUUAGCCACAUAAUUUUAUCAGCUGAUCUUAAUGUGCAUGGACAACUUCUCUAAAUAUUUGUUUGUGUGCGUGCGUGUGUGUAUGUGUGUGUGCAUGAGAGUGUGUGUGUGUGUGUGUGUUUGUGAAUGUGUGUGUCUGUGUCUGCAGGUGUGUGUGUGUGCGUGUGUGUCUGAGUUUGUGUGCGUGCUUGUGCGUGCCUGUGCGUGUGUGUGCAUGCAUGUGUACACGUGUGUGUGAGUGUGUGUGUGCAAAAUGCGAAGAAGCAUCAAUAACAUUGACUCAGUCUUGCAUUCUAUAAUGCCACUUCUCCUAGUUUUAAAGUACGUAUUGCUCAGAGCUGUGGUAAAUUACCUAAACACCUUUGAAUUUGGUUUUGUCAGGAUAUAGUUACUGUAAUAAUGUCGGUCCACAAUAACUGAGCAGUCAACAGAGAAACUUUGCUGUUGAAGAUCUAUUGCCUCACACCAGUUCCAAUGAAAACAAGUUAAUAAAAUUUAGCCCACUUUGAAA
This is a long non-coding RNA of Anguilla rostrata (American eel), 1936 nucleotides long. RefSeq lists it as uncharacterized. Lineage: Eukaryota; Metazoa; Chordata; Actinopteri; Anguilliformes; Anguillidae. The record is from RefSeq and is a predicted model, not a curated record. The transcript has 2 exons.